GACGAACGCUGGCGGCGUGCUUAACACAUGCAAGUCGAACGGUGAAGCGAGUGCUUGCACUCGUGGAUCAGUGGCGAACGGGUGAGUAACACGUGAGUAACCUGCCCCUCACUCUGGGAUAAGCACUGGAAACGGUGUCUAAUACUGGAUACGACCAACCCUUGCAUGGGGUGUUGGUGGAAAGAUUUAUCGGUGAUGGAUGGACUCGCGGCCUAUCAGCUUGUUGGCGGGGUCAUGGCCCACCAAGGCGACGACGGGUAGCCGGCCUGAGAGGGUGACCGGCCACACUGGGACUGAGACACGGCCCAGACUCCUACGGGAGGCAGCAGGGGGGAAUAUUGCACAAUGGGCGAAAGCCGGAUGCAGCGACGCCGCGUGAGGGAUGACGGCCUUCGGGUUGUAAACCUCUUUCAGCAGGGAAGAAGCGAAAGUGACGGUACCUGCAGAAGAAGCACCGGCUAACUACGUG
Molecule: ribosomal RNA, 469 nt
Filed under: uncultured bacterium
Lineage: Bacteria
Description: partial 16S ribosomal RNA
Rfam family: Bacterial small subunit ribosomal RNA
Source: RNAcentral